CUUUACUGUAGCCUGGAAUUGGGUCCGGGCUUCGCUUGCGCAGGAUAGGUGGGAGGCACUGAAACACUCCUUGUGGGGAGUGUGGAGCCAACGGUGAGAUACCACUCUUUCAGAGCUAGGGUUCUAACGGUCACCCGUCAUCCGGGGACCGGACAGUAUCAGGUGGGCAGUUUGACUGGGGCGGUCGCCUCCUAAAAGGUAACGGAGGCGCGCAAAGGUUCCCUCCGGCUGGUUGGAAAUCAGCCCGUGAAGUGCAAAGGCAUAAGGGAGCUUGACUGCAAGAGCCACACCUCGAGCAGGGACGAAAGUCGGCCUUAGUGAUCCGACGGCGCUGAGUGGAAGGGCCGUCGCUCAACGGAUAAAAGUUA
Molecule: ribosomal RNA, 368 nt
Filed under: uncultured organism
Description: bacterial LSU rRNA
Rfam family: Bacterial large subunit ribosomal RNA
Source: RNAcentral